GUAGAAACAGAACAUACGCAAUGCGACAAAAUUAAAAGCACGUUUUAACAUUCCUAACAACAUACCAGAAAGCACCUAUGUAAUUUGGUCGGGUUAUUUGUUGCCCACCAUAAACCAUACUUACGAACACUGGUAAAGAUAAAGAUCAUUUAUUAUUUAAGUAGGCAUAUUACAAUGCGCUUAUGAACGUCAAAUAAAGCUACGCCGGCUCUAACCCUACACCUCUACCCCGAGAAGAUUUAAAUCCCCCCUCAAUUUGAGGAGGGUAUCCCAAUAUGGGACCGGCAACAAACUCGGCGGAACACAUCUUUUCAAAACAUUGCAUCUUAUAAUUAACAUGCAUUA
This is a long non-coding RNA of Cydia strobilella, 345 nucleotides long. RefSeq lists it as uncharacterized. NCBI's taxonomy places the organism in Eukaryota, Metazoa, Arthropoda, Insecta, Lepidoptera, Tortricidae. The record is from RefSeq and is a predicted model, not a curated record. The transcript has 2 exons.